Sphaeramia orbicularis (orbiculate cardinalfish) is the source of this 1419-nucleotide long non-coding RNA. RefSeq lists it as uncharacterized. Lineage: Eukaryota; Metazoa; Chordata; Actinopteri; Kurtiformes; Apogonidae. The transcript has 8 exons. The record is from RefSeq and is a predicted model, not a curated record.
GAGCUUAAAUAGUUUGCCAACCGCGUAAUCCGUCUUUCCGACUUCGGCUGUGUAUUCUGUGCAGUCGUCUGAACGCGAAUGUCAUUUGAAGAUUUAGUGUUGGGCACAAAUUUGACAGAACAAGCAUUUAAUGUGAGUCAGAGGACACGUUAGUUGAGCUGCAGUCUGUAUUAAUGCUAAAAUGUUUGACUUGUUAGCAUAACUUAGAUGUUAGCUCAAACUGCCGGGCCUCAAGGCACCCACGUGGAGAGCAAAGAAAGAUGGAGAAGGUGGUGGAAAAUCCGCCAAAUGGAAGGCGGUGGUGUAGCUGCACUUCAAGUGUCUCAGACGUGACAUAGGUUUCGGCCUUGUUUCACGUCCUUCAGAGGUUAAAAUGGGUUUAAACAAGACCACAGAAAUUUCCAGGCUUAAAAGCUAAAAUGACUGUCCUCUGCCAGAUGUUAAACCGAGAAUACAUAUGCAGUUGACCUGGAAGCACCAAACAUUCCUCCUUCCAAACAAGCCAUGUGAGGAUUCAGUCUUUCCAGAGAUGGUGUCUUCUGUCUUGGGCCGAUCUUGGAUUUCUGCUGCAGCAUCACCUUUAAGCUUGUGCCAGUCCAGUGUGUUCUGAUCAGGUCUUACCCUUCCAGUCCAGGAUGUCAUUGAUGCAGGGGAGAGGAGUGUUCCCAGCAACUUAAACAGCUGAAAGAUUGGGCAGGUGAGACAUGCAGAUAGGUAACAGUUUUCCACUUGAAGUGAAUUUCAGAAGUAAAAUGCCAUCCAUAGCCGUGAAAACGGUGAAUUCCUGUGUUGAAAUGCCAUUUAAUCACCAGAAUACUUCAUUAAUCCCAGGGGAAUUUGUUGUGUUCCAGUUGUUCAUGGAGUAAAGUCCCUUAAAGUAUUGCAGAGAUGCUAAAGAUUACCUGUUGCAAAACAAAGUCUGUGAGGAUUAAAUGACACUUAAGAGAAGCAUAGUGGUUAAAGGUGUUAAAACAACUAGCUGUGCUGUGGACUGUAAAUGAACUUUCAUUGUGCUGUAACAUGGAAAAUGCCACUGCAGUAUGUGAUGGUGCUCAUCCAAUAUCAGUACUAUUGUACAAAAUGGAUUCUUAAUGUAAACUUGCGUUUAAGAACUAGGUUAUUUUCAGCCAUUGAGCAAAUGCAAAAACCUUUAUCAGAAACAAGGGGUAAAUUGUGAAUAAGAUUUGUAUAAUUGUAUCAUCCGCUGUCAUGGGAUUGCACACCAAGGCUCACCUGAAAUUGCUUCAGUUUUUAGUAUUGCAUUAAGGCUUUGUGUAAUCAUGUUUUUACUUUAAUAUUUUCUUCUUUUCCUUUACAGCUGGUGGAAGGAUUCUGUUGGACUUUGGAAGUUUGAUUUACCUGUUUAUAUAUUCUGCAUUUGUAAAAUGCAAUUUGAUUAAACACUUUGUUUAAAAUAUC